This 392-nucleotide ribosomal RNA is filed under the name uncultured bacterium. Its description in RNAcentral is "partial 16S ribosomal RNA". It matches the Rfam family "Bacterial small subunit ribosomal RNA", at positions 523 to 918 of the family's 1533-position model. The record is from RNAcentral.
AUACGGAGGAUCCGAGCGUUAUCCGGAUUUAUUGGGUUUAAAGGGCGCGCAGGCGGCCAUUUAAGUCAGCGGUUAAAUCGUGGGGCUCAACCCCAUUCUGCCGUUGAUACUGGGUGGCUUGAUUGCGGUCGAGGUUGGCGGAAUUCGUUGUGUAGCGGUGAAAUGCAUAGAUAUGACGAAGAACACCGAUUGCGUAGGCAGCUGACCAGACCGCAAAUGACGCUCAUGCACGAAAGUGCGGGGAUCGAACAGGAUUAGAUACCCUGGUAGUCCGCACAGUAAACGAUGAAUACUUGUUUUCGGCGAUAUAAUGUCGGAGGCAAAGCGAAAGCGAUAAGUAUUCCACCUGGGGAGUGCGCCGGCAACGGUGAAACUCAAAGGAAUUGACGGGG